AUAAUGGUACACCUGUCCCGUAUAUGCGGGAGCAGCUCGGAGAGAUCCUCGGAGGGGUGAGAUUCCCGUAG
Molecule: non-coding RNA, 71 nt
Organism: Oscillibacter sp. KLE 1745
Lineage: Bacteria; Bacillati; Bacillota; Clostridia; Eubacteriales; Oscillospiraceae
Source: Rfam